Molecule: ribosomal RNA, 269 nt
Filed under: uncultured prokaryote
Description: partial 16S ribosomal RNA
Rfam family: Bacterial small subunit ribosomal RNA
Source: RNAcentral
UACGGAGGAUCCUAGUGUUAUCCGGAUUUAUUGGGUUUAAAGGGAGCGUAGGCGGGAGGUCAAGUCAGCUGUGAAAUGUAUCUGCUUAACGGGUACACUGCAGUUGAAACUGGUUUUCUUGAGUGCGUAAGAGGCAGGCGGAAUUCGUUGUGUAGCGGUGAAAUGCUUAGAUAUGACGAGGAACUCCUAUUGCGAAGGCAGCUUGCUGGGUCGUUACUGACGCUGAUGCUCGAAGGUGCGGGGAUCAAACAGGAUUAGAUACCCCCGUA